UUCCAUACUUUUCUCCAUGUUUGGUA
RNAcentral lists this small RNA (26 nucleotides) under Bombyx mori (domestic silkworm). RNAcentral describes it as "ovarian small RNA-37142". Lineage: Eukaryota; Metazoa; Arthropoda; Insecta; Lepidoptera; Bombycidae. The record is from RNAcentral.